AAUGGCAUUUAGAGGCUUUUGCAUCUGAACUCUUCAAAUGCAGGUUGAUUGAACCCCUAUUAUAUAAUUACCUUUGUUUGAACAUGCUGGCCUAGGUUAAGGUAUAAAAAAGUGUCCACUGUCUGAUUAACAAUGCCAUAUGUGAGCUGAUGUGUUCAUAUUUCUAUAAACUGCAUUCGCUUAAACUUAUUGUCUUAUUAUUGACAACUACAAAUCGACCAAAUUCUGAUUAUCACACCUGAGAUUCCCUUAAUUUCCACUUAAGUCUCACAGACAGUUAUAUAUUUGUUUCCAUCAAUAAACAUUGUUUACCAAUAAUGAUACAGAACAACAGCAGAAGCAAAACUGGCUGAUCUUAGGAGAGCCAGCUUUUAAUGUUUCUCAGCUCUGUUCUUGCGCACCUCAACAGCACACAUUUCUCAAUACACUGAUUAUAAUACUGAAAGUCCUGAAAUAGGUGCGUCAGAUGAGGGAGAGAUCCAAAAAGUGUACUGUUGGGGAGGCCUCCGUGAAGGACCAGGGUUGGGAAACACUGUGCUAGGAAAUCUCGACAUGCCAGCAAACCUCCCGGGGGCCUUAAUCAGCGAGCGGCGCUGCUUCUCUCUCCUACCACCAAUUCAUCACGCCCUGUCAAUUGCAAACCAUGCUGCGGCGCACUUACACACAAGAUUAUUGUCAAUAUAGAUUUUUAAAUAGAAAAAUCUAUUCGCUAAACACUCCAGUCGAUAGGAGCAAAUCGAUUCCACUAGGCAGCAAAACUCUCUGUGAGCUCAGGCUCAGAAGUCUUGGCAAUGACCGAGAUGUAAACCAAAACACAAAUGAUGCUUUUUGGCAUCUACUUGCCACAUAUAAUGACGUAGACAUUGUGUUGUUUUGCAUUACUAAUAAAAGUGAUACAAUUACUGCUCUUGCUGAAGACCAUGUUGUGUUCAUUUUUGGGGGGUCUCUGACGUCUGCAACAUCCCGCUUUCCAUCCUUAUUUUGUUCAAUAAAAGGAUGUGUUUCAUUGUCCCUGUCCAUCCUUGAAUCUCGCUAUUGACAGAUGACAUCUGCAGGUCAAGUGAAACAGAUGAAACGGAGUGACCGGUUGUCCCUCGCAUACCCCCUUGACGCGCUGAGGUAACGGGGCGCUCGGGCCCCUCCCUCCAGUACUCCUUUCAGACAAAAGCAAUUAUUUCUUGUAGAAUAUAGUGUGGUUGUGCACAUCUAAGAGAAGGAGAGAGGGACUGGAGGGAAAGAGAGAGUGCGAAAUUGAGGGAGAGGAAAAUAAGAUGGUGUUGGAAGGAUAGGGAGCUAACACCUCCUUCCUAUAGCUGUGCACUCCUCAUCUAAACAAACCUAGCUAUUGUUUAUGUGGCUUCCUGGAGUGAUGGGAAAGAAAAGCUGUUUCUUAUUCACACACACCAGAGGAGAACUGGCCCAGCGACUGAGCAUGGUUUCUCCCAAAGUUGUUUUUCUCCAUUCUGACACCAGUUUGGGUUCCUUGCCACUGUCACCUCUGGCUUGCUAAGUUGGGGACACUUAAUAUUCAACAAUAUUAUUGUUCUGAUGUACUGACACUGUUGAAUGAGAACGGAACUGAGUUGAACGAUGACAUUAUUUUUGGCAGAAUUGCUUUAUAGAUGAAAUGAGAACUAAUGAACUAAUAAUUGAUGAUCUUUACAACGGUACUGACUUCAGCUGAACAAGUGUAUCAAAUGUUCACUAAAGCUGCUUUGAAACAAUCUGUAUUGUAUAAAAGCGCUAUAUAAAUAAAGGUGACUUGGCUUGA
This is a non-coding RNA of Pimephales promelas (fathead minnow), 1771 nucleotides long. The record is from RefSeq and is a predicted model, not a curated record. NCBI's taxonomy places the organism in Eukaryota, Metazoa, Chordata, Actinopteri, Cypriniformes, Leuciscidae.